This 89-nucleotide transfer RNA is filed under the name Nitrosopumilaceae archaeon. RNAcentral describes it as "tRNA-Gln". It matches the Rfam family "tRNA". From Rfam's summary of the family: Transfer RNA (tRNA) molecules are approximately 80 nucleotides in length. Their secondary structure includes four short double-helical elements and three loops (D, anti-codon, and T loops). Further hydrogen bonds mediate the characteristic L-shaped molecular structure. tRNAs have two regions of fundamental functional importance: the anti-codon, which is responsible for specific mRNA codon recognition, and the 3' end, to which the tRNAs corresponding amino acid is attached (by aminoacyl-tRNA synthetases). tRNAs cope with the degeneracy of the genetic code in two manners: having more than one tRNA (with a specific anti-codon) for a particular amino acid; and 'wobble' base-pairing, i.e. permitting non-standard base-pairing at the 3rd anti-codon position. The record is from RNAcentral. Lineage: Archaea; Thermoproteati; Nitrososphaerota; Nitrososphaeria; Nitrosopumilales; Nitrosopumilaceae.
AGCCCGAUAGUCUAGUUCGGUCAAACACGUCGGGCCAAGGAUUCUGCCCUCUGGAGGCAGAGACGGCAGUUCGAAUCUGCCUCGGGCUA